RNAcentral lists this unclassified non-coding RNA (206 nucleotides) under Hevea brasiliensis (rubber tree). The record is from RNAcentral. Lineage: Eukaryota; Viridiplantae; Streptophyta; Magnoliopsida; Malpighiales; Euphorbiaceae.
AGACCAUUCUUUUUCUUGGAAACUGUACGUAGUUCUUUGAGUCAUAUAACUAUGUUCUGAUAUGAUUAUUAACAAAAAUCAACUUGUAGUGCCCGCCUCUUGACCUUUUUUUCUUCUCAAAAACUACAAGUAGUUGUUUGAGACAUAUAUCUAUGUUCUGAUAUUGUCAAAAAAUCAAUUUGUAGUGCCUCAUGAUUGAUGAAGCG